RNAcentral lists this ribosomal RNA (560 nucleotides) under Fusarium solani. RNAcentral's name for it is "eukaryotic LSU rRNA". The stretch from base 173 to 326 matches the Rfam family "5.8S ribosomal RNA". The record is from RNAcentral. Lineage: Eukaryota; Fungi; Ascomycota; Sordariomycetes; Hypocreales; Nectriaceae.
GAACCUGCGGAGGGAUCAUUACCGAGUUAUACAACUCAUCAACCCUGUGAACAUACCUAUAACGUUGCCUCGGCGGGAACAGACGGCCCCGUAACACGGGCCGCCCCCGCCAGAGGACCCCCUAACUCUGUUUCUAUAAUGUUUCUUCUGAGUAAACAAGCAAAUAAAUUAAAACUUUCAACAACGGAUCUCUUGGCUCUGGCAUCGAUGAAGAACGCAGCGAAAUGCGAUAAGUAAUGUGAAUUGCAGAAUUCAGUGAAUCAUCGAAUCUUUGAACGCACAUUGCGCCCGCCAGUAUUCUGGCGGGCAUGCCUGUUCGAGCGUCAUUACAACCCUCAGGCCCCCGGGCCUGGCGUUGGGGAUCGGCGGAAGCCCCCUGCGGGCACAACGCCGUCCCCCAAAUACAGUGGCGGUCCCGCCGCAGCUUCCAUUGCGUAGUAGCUAACACCUCGCAACUGGAGAGCGGCGCGGCCACGCCGUAAAACACCCAACUUCUGAAUGUUGACCUCGAAUCAGGUAGGAAUACCCGCUGAACUUAAGCAUAUCAAUAAGCGGAGGAA